RNAcentral lists this long non-coding RNA (485 nucleotides) under Hordeum vulgare. RNAcentral's name for it is "long non-coding RNA (HVUL_LNC013856)". Lineage: Eukaryota; Viridiplantae; Streptophyta; Magnoliopsida; Poales; Poaceae. The record is from RNAcentral.
AGAAGCAACCGACUUUACAAAAUCAAGGUGCAAAAGACACUCCAUUUAGCCACGACUUUAUUUCGUCAAAGAGUACUAUCUUCGUCCAAAUGUAUAGGGUAUGCGUGUAAUUUUAGGUUCAGAUUUAAGUGACACUGCAGGACAGUAGGCCUCGUGGCGUGGGACCGGACCGUCAGCCAUACGCGGGAGAUCAUCAGGUCCAGAUUUCAGACAGCCGUUGGAUCAUCAGGUCAAAAUAAUGGAGUAGUACGCAAUGCAAUGUGCCUACGCGUCUUUCUUGUUGUACAUGUGGGUGCACUGGAACGUGCAGCAGUAGCUGCAGCGAGCCAGCUAAUUAAGCAGAGUUCAGCCUUGCCCCAACUACACUAGAUUAGCAUUAGUCAAAUCAAAUCUCCCUCCGGCGGAUUAGUUUACACGUAACACUACACUCGGGUUAUUUCUCCUCGCCGGCCGGACCGGACGGCGAGCANNNNNNNNNNNNNNNN